AGAUACCAAUUCCUAUACCUCUGAAGAUGCAGUAGGGUGGAAUGUGGCUUCUUGAAGGAGAGCAACACCAAGAUUCUGCAUGACCAGGCAAAUUUGGCCUUAUUAAAGUCUUUGCUUCAUUCCCGUUUCAAGAAUAAGCAAAGAGGGGCAGCUGUAAUAACCCAAAUUUUCCCAGCCCAUAUAUAUUUCAAAAAGAGAAAAACAAAUAAAUAAAAAUAAAACCAAAUAAAACCAAAUAAAAAAUAAUAGUGAAGGCCAAUAGCAGUUCAUUUACAAAUCCGAAUCAGCUAAACCUAAAUGAACCCCAAACUCAAUUUUCAUAAACCUGAAUAAAU
RNAcentral lists this long non-coding RNA (335 nucleotides) under Gossypium raimondii (Peruvian cotton). RNAcentral's name for it is "long non-coding RNA (GRAI_LNC004321)". The record is from RNAcentral. Lineage: Eukaryota; Viridiplantae; Streptophyta; Magnoliopsida; Malvales; Malvaceae.